Molecule: ribosomal RNA, 275 nt
Filed under: Klebsiella pneumoniae
Lineage: Bacteria; Pseudomonadati; Pseudomonadota; Gammaproteobacteria; Enterobacterales; Enterobacteriaceae
Description: partial 23S ribosomal RNA
Rfam family: Bacterial large subunit ribosomal RNA
Source: RNAcentral
GCGUGACGGCGCGAGCAGGUGCGAAAGCAGGUCAUAGUGAUCCGGUGGUUCUGAAUGGAAGGGCCAUCGCUCAACGGAUAAAAGGUACUCCGGGGAUAACAGGCUGAUACCGCCCAAGAGUUCAUAUCGACGGCGGUGUUUGGCACCUCGAUGUCGGCUCAUCACAUCCUGGGGCUGAAGUAGGUCCCAAGGGUAUGGCUGUUCGCCAUUUAAAGUGGUACGCGAGCUGGGUUUAGAACGUCGUGAGACAGUUCGGUCCCUAUCUGCCGUGGGCG